GACGAACGCUGGCGGCGUGCCUAAUACAUGCAAGUAGAACGCUGAAGGAGGAGCUUGCUCUUCUGGAUGAGUUGCGAACGGGUGAGUAACGCGUAGGUAACCUGCCUGGUAGCGGGGGAUAACCAUUGGAAACGAUAGCUAAUACCGCAUAACAGUAGAUGUUGCAUGACAUUUACUUAAAAGGUGCAAUUGCAUCACUACCAGAUGGACCUGCGUUGUAUUAGCUAGUUGUUGGGGUAACGGCUCACCAAGGCGACGAUACAUAGCCGACCUGAGAGGGUGAUCGGCCAAACUGGGACUGAGACACGGCCCAGACUACUACGGCAGGCAGCAGUAGGGAAUCUUCAGCAAUGGACGGAAGUGUGACUGAGCAACGCCGCGUGAGUGAAGAAGGUAUUCGGGUCGUAAAGCUCUGUUGUAAGAGAGGAACGAAUGUGAGAGUGGAAAGUUCACACUGUGACGGUAUCUGACGAGAAAGGGACGGCUAACUACGUG
This 495-nucleotide ribosomal RNA is filed under the name uncultured bacterium. RNAcentral describes it as "partial 16S ribosomal RNA". It matches the Rfam family "Bacterial small subunit ribosomal RNA", at positions 28 to 507 of the family's 1533-position model. The record is from RNAcentral.